AGUUCUAAGAGAUGUCUCAAUCCAGAGGUUUGGAAAUUGAGCCUUUCAAGAAUCACAGCGUGUAGGUCUUGGGAAGGACCUAGAGAUGAUGCUGUCUAGAUUUCCCCAGCCUUCUCUUUGAACUUGACCUUCAACCGCUGGAUCUUGAACCAGAAAACAGUUGAAAGGACAUAGUGGAGACAGCGUGGGAUCAAGCAUGAAGACUGAGCUAUGUGCUGACGAGGACUUUCACCUGGGAGAAGAGCUCAUUCUUCCUAUCGUUUCCCUGGGAAGAACAUGGCUGAAACAACUUACUGUACAGACCACAGAAGUGAGACCAAAAACACUGAGAUGAGGAAGAGGUGUGGCAAAAUGGCUUUGUUGUGGUGGAAGAUGAAUUGUCGUCUCAAGGGGGCAGAGGACUGCCUGUGAGCUUCCUUAACAUGGAGCCCGAAACCGGUGUUUGCACAGUCCUUGAGGAAAGGGUUUGCUCAGCAAAUUAACAGUGUGAACAAGACUGCAGGAGGGACCAUUUACCUACCUGAGAACAAACUGUUUUCUAGCUCUUCAGCAGCACCACUUACGCACAAUUUUCAUGUGCUAAUGGCAAGUGAUUAUUACCUAGUUAGUGAAUAUACGUGGAAGACAUAAAAUAGCCUUUACUAUCCCCUGGUUGAGACAACUCGCUAACUCAGACUUGCCAGGUGCUCUGAAUUAGAGAGGUGCUACAGGAAUGUCCUCUCGGAUUUUUGGCGUUGAGCAUGCAUGCAUGUGAGCAGGGUGCCAUUUCUUCAGAAGAAAAAUAAAUGACAACAUUCUGUUUUGGGGCUUGAAACUGCAUGACUGAAAACAUAAAGGUGACAACUGUGAUAUGCUUUUUUAAUGAGGGCAGAGAUGUCAAGAGAAACCAGCCUUCUAGGAACAAAAGAAUACUCUGUCAGGCCCGACUCCCAGUUCCAGCCUGAACACUGGUCAGCUGAAGACAACGCUGCCACCUUCAUCUCUUCCCUGCCUGUCCUGCUUACAACAGUUGCAAGAAGUUUAUACCCACAUUAAGCCCCCAGAGGCAGGCUGGCAGCCAGCCUUCGCCACUGGUGCAGAGAACUGAGUCAACCACCCGGUGUUCCUGGCUGCUCCCCCUGAGAAGCUUUCCCACCCUGUUCCCUGAGUCGAGAGUCUUGGCUGGGCACCUGCUGCACUGUGGACGUGCGGACGCGGCCUCCAGAAGGGGGAAGGGAGCCCUGGCUGGCUUCUCUGAGACGUGUUGAGUGGCUUGCCAUUGAAGACUGUUUCCUCACUCAGGCAGCUGCAUGCCCCAAGUGAGUGACUUCCUCUCUCUGGACUCAGUUUCUGAAUCUGUAGACAAAGAGGGUGGACCAGAUGGUCUUGGAGGUGCCUUCCAGGUCACAUCUCUCCUGUUUCUAACAGCAGGUGGAAGCAGACUUAUUUUGCAACUGGCUUCAAACAAUUUGAAGAAAGGGUCAUGGCUUUCCCUUCAGCAGAGUUUGGGAUCUGAACACUGCGUUGCCCCCAAAUGUCUGCCUCUUGAGAGUUCUCCACCCAGUGGUCCUGCUUGCGUCUUUGGAGGACGGUAGCAGUGCGCUCAGUGGAGGCCACGGGUGCCUCAGAGGGAUUUCUCUUGGACCUCCUGCCCUACCCCAGCUUCGGCGUUGCACUUGGAGAAGGCCCUGGAUAUCUCAGGGUGAUCUUCAUGCUCAUUCCAUGGCUAGAAUGGAAGUGAUUUCCAGGACCACCUUGAGAGCCAUGUGUUGAAG
Molecule: long non-coding RNA, 1754 nt
Organism: Homo sapiens (human)
Lineage: Eukaryota; Metazoa; Chordata; Mammalia; Primates; Hominidae
Product: MIR4432 host gene
Source: Ensembl